This 238-nucleotide ribosomal RNA is filed under the name uncultured bacterium. RNAcentral describes it as "partial 16S ribosomal RNA". It matches the Rfam family "Bacterial small subunit ribosomal RNA", at positions 15 to 236 of the family's 1533-position model. The record is from RNAcentral.
GAUCCUGGCUCAGGAUGAACGCUGGCGGCGUGCCUAACACAUGCAAGUCGAACGAAGCGCCUUACCGGAUUCUUCGGAUGAAGGUCUGGUGACUGAGUGGCGGACGGGUGAGUAACGCGUGGGUAACCUGCCCUGUACAGGGGGGAUAACAGCUGGAAACGGCUGCUAAUACCGCAUAAGCGCACGAGGAGACAUCUCCUUGUGUGAAAAACUCCGGUGGUACAGGAUGGGCCCGCGU